Molecule: long non-coding RNA, 1253 nt
Organism: Vespa mandarinia (Asian giant hornet)
Lineage: Eukaryota; Metazoa; Arthropoda; Insecta; Hymenoptera; Vespidae
Source: RefSeq, a predicted model, not a curated record
UCUCUCUCUCUCUCUCUCUCUCUCUCUCUCUCUCUCUCUCUCUCUCUCUCUCUCUCUCUCUCUCUCUCUCUCUCUCUCUCUCACUCACACUCUCACUCUUACUUUCACUCUCUCCUUCUCACUUUCUCAUCAUUCAAUACGAAACGCGGAGGCCAUGUGAAAGAAAUGAUAGACAAAACGAUCACGAACGAUUCUCCAUCUAUUUCUCUUUCUCUCCUCGUUAUCGUUCUCAUUUUAUCUAGUUUCUCUCUCUUUCAUAUCAUAAGUACAAUACAUCGUAGAAAAAAAUCUGAAAGCCUCGUGCAAAUUUCGUAUUGCAGACUGGGAAGGUUCGAAUUACUCUUUGCUAUUUGCAAAUCCCAUUUUUUCUUUUUAUCUUUCUUUUUCUCUUUCGUUUCUAUUCCCCGACGUAUAAAAAGCGUAAGCACUAGACUGCCCGAGCGUUUUCUGGUUGCCGCAAGAUGGUUUUUUGCCACGGUUAGAGAGAAUAUGGCGACUCAGUUUGCAGCAUCUUACCUUUUUUCUUUUUUUCCCUGUCUUCUAUCUCGAUGCUUCUAAGGCCUUCUUAGUACUUUUCUUUUUCUUUCAUUCUUUCUGUGUCUCUCUGUUUGUCUAUUUCUCUCUCUCUCUCUCUUUCUCUCGUUCACUUUCCCAAUCAAUCCAUCUUACACCACUACAUCAUCUUUUUUCUUGUUAAUAAUAGCAGGUACUAGCAUAGCUACCACAGUCGUACGUAUCGUUAAUAGUUAUAAUUAAGUUUAGAUAUUACUACAGGGUACUGUCGUGCUUCUCUUUCUCUCCUUCUUCUCCCUCUUUUUCUCUCUUCAUUUAUUUUCGUAUUUAUUUCUUUCUUUCCUUGUCUUUGUAUCAUCCUCAUACGUUUCUUUUCCUUUUUAUUUAACACUUCUACCCUUUUUAUUAAUUUUACUAGUAUAGGUUUUCGUAGUUAAAAAAUCAUAUAUUAUAAACCCCCAUUUCAACACGCCCCGUGCAUCCGGAGAGGACGGCUGCCGAGUGGCCCGUGCAUAUACACAUUUUAUAGGGACUAUUUUAUACUAAUCGCGGAGGAUAUAUCAUUAUAGGAUCCUCGUUCGUUUCAAAGUCAAUCUAAAUACGAUUAUCUUUUCCCGUGACUCAACGACAACACAACAACGACGACGACGAUGACCCACGACGAUGUCCCUUCGCGUACAUUUGAAAUCAUCGAGAUAGGCUGAGAUUCUCAAGUAAAAUUUAUUCGCUCGCAGAGGAAG